CAUAAUGAAUGCACAGAGAACUGUAUAGCUCAGCCUUGCCUACUCUGAUGCCAUCCAGAUAUGUUGGACUAGCAAUGGCUAUGCUGGCCGGGGGAUUCUGGGAGUUGUAUCUAUACCCGGGAGCUUUGGGAUCACGCAGAAACUGGUUGAUAUUGCCUCUGAAUGGAGAAGAGUGUGAAGCAGGAAAAGAAAAGUAUCUCGGGUAUGUGAAAAAAACGGACAGUGAGCUGCAAUGAUUCCACGCUUCAGACAAAUCCCGCUGGAAUGUUUUUAUGGCCUGUGCUGCUAGAAUAUUUUUUAUGUUCUUUGUUGGUUCAUAUGACUCUAAAAACAUAUUGUUAUGGAUGUAAGCUGCCAUGUUUGGCAAGAAAUACUGCUAAGUUCUUUAGAUUUCAAAAGAACAAGAAGACUUCAAAAACUGAACAAAACUCUAAGAAGCUCUAUGAUGCAGGAAUAAAAAAGGGCAAGUAGAGAGUGAGUCAAGAAUGUCGGUUGCUAGAUUUGGCAAAGCUAAAUUCACUAGCAUCUCUCCAUGACAAAGGUCCCCAACCUUUUUGAACCAGUGGACAUAUUUUGAGUUUUGAUAAUCUGUUAUGCGCACUCUCACAAAAUGGCUGCCUUGGGGGGACUUGCACAUUCACAAAAUGGCUACCACGGGGGACAUGGACAAUCACAAAAAAAACAUUUCCAAGAAAGCAAACUGGUGAUACGAAAAGAAACAUAACUAGUCCAAGAACCUAAGUACAAAGUAGAGGUGGUGACUGAGGUUCAACACACAAAACCAUUCUUUUGAACCCAAAAACAAAAGGUGCUGGAGGGCAUUACUUUGCCUUGCCACAUGGCAGUCAAUAUAUAUGUGUGUGCGUAUAAGUGUGUGUGUGUGUGCAUAAAAUCUUAUGAAAUAAAAUAAGGAGCAGAGAGUCUGGUGCUGCCUAAGGCCACCACAUUGGAGACCCCAGAUCCAUGAGCUUUCUGAUCAACCUGAGUAUGAGCUGUGGAAAGUAGCUAUCUUUUGAUCAUGGACCCACGUGCACGGGAACAAUGUUUAUAGCCAAAGAGAAGACUACAGAAGGGAAAAUGAGGCAUUUUGCUAGACUUGCCUCCUUGGCUGAAGCACGUUUCCAUGCUGUCAUUUACUCGAAUUGUUAAAGAGAAAGAAGGGGGAACAACCUAAAAAAAGAAUGGGCACCAUUUAUGCACAACUCUAAAAUAAUUGGACUUUAUUACUGCAAAGGCAACAGAUCAAACAGAAGAAACAAAGCCACGCUGCACGUCCCCUUGUGUAUUAGAUACAUCUAUAUAAGUUACCAAUACAGUGUUAAUCAUAUACAAUAAAACAGGGUUAAAGAAAAAA
Molecule: long non-coding RNA, 1354 nt
Organism: Elgaria multicarinata webbii
Lineage: Eukaryota; Metazoa; Chordata; Lepidosauria; Squamata; Anguidae
Exons: 3
Source: RefSeq, a predicted model, not a curated record